Molecule: non-coding RNA, 73 nt
Organism: Maniola jurtina (meadow brown)
Lineage: Eukaryota; Metazoa; Arthropoda; Insecta; Lepidoptera; Nymphalidae
Source: the annotation of a RefSeq genome assembly
GCCCGGCUAGCUCAGUCGGUAGAGUAUGAGACUAUUAAUCUCAGGGUCGUGGGUUCGAGCCCCACGUUAGGUG